CAAAAUUCAGAUGUGUAAGUAACUUCAGCUGAUCUUCCACCAGUUCUAAAUAUUAGACAGCUUCCGAGCUCUCUUACAUUUAGACCUUUUUCUACGCCUGAAACAGGCAUAGAAAAUGGUGAAAGAGACCGGC
Molecule: long non-coding RNA, 133 nt
Organism: Bufo bufo (common toad)
Lineage: Eukaryota; Metazoa; Chordata; Amphibia; Anura; Bufonidae
Exons: 3
Source: RefSeq, a predicted model, not a curated record